Molecule: non-coding RNA, 667 nt
Organism: Misgurnus anguillicaudatus (oriental weatherfish)
Lineage: Eukaryota; Metazoa; Chordata; Actinopteri; Cypriniformes; Cobitidae
Source: RefSeq, a predicted model, not a curated record
AAGAGUUGUUUUUGCUCCGUUUUGAGUAAACAAAGUAAAAUGUGUCAGUAGAGUGGGAGCAAAAUUACAGAGUAACUGUAACAGAGUAAAAUUUUUCCCUCCUAAUUUCCGUUUAUCUGCCAUUGCUGUAUAUAAUGUUAAAACAGAGUAACAAUAAAGAUUAAUGACACGCCUGCAUAUACUUCUUUUGUAAAAAAAAUAAACAAACAACUUCUCAAAAAAUAGCAUUUAAUAACUAAUCUAAAUUAAACUAAUUACAAAAAUGAACACUUAAAAGUACGUAAACAUAAUAAAUAACUAAAAGAACAGAAACCAUCUUUGGGGAUAAUAUCUGUAUAUAAGUGUACUUAGAUUUUUAAGUUUGAUUCACGUAGCAUUCGAUUACAUAGAGUUUGGGGGCUUUAUGACCUACACGGCACCCCGCCACCAGAGGGCGAUAGAAAUAUUUACUUCACUCACCGUGACUCCCUUGGUAACGGCCAUAUCGAUCACUGCUGGUUAAGAAGACAAGCUGCUUUCUGCUGGAUGGUGAAGAUGUAAACCAACAGCUUUGUCAAAGUAAAGUGAAGUUAAACUGACGAGCGUCUGGAGUUGGGCACCACAUGAUUCAAACCAACAAUGUUGUCAGAGUAAAGUUCAAAGACAGCAAGAAAUAUAUGGGCUGUUU